Molecule: ribosomal RNA, 253 nt
Filed under: uncultured bacterium
Lineage: Bacteria
Description: partial 16S ribosomal RNA
Rfam family: Bacterial small subunit ribosomal RNA
Source: RNAcentral
UACGUAGGGUGCAAGCGUUGUCCGGAAUUAUUGGGCGUAAAGAGCUCGUAGGCGGUCUGUCGCGUCGGCUGUGAAAACCCGGAGCUCAACUCCGGGCCUGCAGUCGAUACGGGCAAACUGGAGUGUUGCAGGGGAGACUGGAAUUCCUGGUGUAGCGGUGAAAUGUGUAGAGAUCGGGAGGAACACCGGUGGCGAAGGCGGGUCUCUGGGCAAUUCCUGACGCUGAGGCGCGAAAGCGUGGGGAGCAAACGGG